RNAcentral lists this ribosomal RNA (336 nucleotides) under Triticum aestivum (bread wheat). RNAcentral describes it as "partial small subunit ribosomal RNA". Lineage: Eukaryota; Viridiplantae; Streptophyta; Magnoliopsida; Poales; Poaceae. The record is from RNAcentral.
AUGUACAAAUUGGAUAAGUAUAACAAAUCUAUUAGAUUUCUAUUAGAUUUGUAUGUUUUUAUUCAUAACCAUCAGUCUACAAUCACCACUCUACUCUGCCUUUCACUUUGCAGCCCACGCUCAGGUCUUACUCUAGCUCUCUUCUGGAGUGGUUGUGACCCCACCACGCGCAAGGUAUUCACCAAGAACCAGAAGGUUUUGGACACCAUGGGUAUGGCUACAUUCGUGGAUGUAGGAAAUUUGCGGCCAUUUCAAUUAAGCCUUUUUACACCUAGUGGUGCAUUCAUAAUAAUUAUGAUAUAUGCAUACCAAAUUAUUAGUCUUCACCUUUUUUAA